CCUACGGGGCGCAGCAGUGAGGAAUAUUGGUCAAUGGCCGUAAGGCUGAACCAGCCAAGUAGCGUGAGGGAAGACUGCCCUAUGGGUUGUAAACCUCUUUUAUGCGGGGAUAAAGGUGUCCACGUGUGGAUGUUUGCAGGUACCGCAUGAAUAAGGACCGGCUAAUUCCGUGCCAGCAGCCGCGGUAAUACGGAAGGUCCGGGCGUUAUCCGGAUUUAUUGGGUUUAAAGGGAGCGUAGGCCGGUCUUUAAGCGUGCCGGGAAAUUUUGUGGAUCAACCAUGAGAGUGCGGCGCGAACUGGAGACCUUGAGGGCGCGGAAGGCAGGCGGAAUUCGUGGUGUAGCGGUGAAAUGCUUAGAUAUCACGAAGAACCCCGAUUGCGAAGGCAGCCUGCCGCAGCGUUACUGACGCUGAAGCUCGAAAGCGCGGGUAUCGAACAGGAUUAGAUACCCGGGUAGUC
Molecule: ribosomal RNA, 460 nt
Filed under: uncultured bacterium
Lineage: Bacteria
Description: partial 16S ribosomal RNA
Rfam family: Bacterial small subunit ribosomal RNA
Source: RNAcentral